CAUCAUCAAACAAACUAAAGCUCCCAACCAUAUUCAGAAACUUCAAAUAAGUAAUUAGACAAUUAAUUACUACCACCACAAAUCCUAAACUUCCUCCACACCUUUAAUUUCUUGGAACCAGAAAUGAGCUUGCUCCUUCUUCAUGUUCUCUCUGUUUUCUCAGAUUUUCAGAAAAAGAAAUUGACCGCAACAGACUCUUCUUUUUCAUGCCUAGGUGCUCUGCGUUCUCCUUCUCACACACAGCUCCAUAAUCCUCACCGAGCUUGGUUCCUGAUUUCGCGAGAAAGAGUGUGAUUGAAAACGUAGAUCUGGAACCAAGAAACGCAGAUUUAGGACGGAGGUCGGUGUUAGCAGAGGUGUGGCUGGAGAUCAAGUUUGAGGCGGUGGCUGGUGGUGCAUGGUGCGGCGGACCCCUUCCUCGAUUUCGUAGGUUCAGUCCUUAUUGGAAAGGUAUUAGACUCAUACGUUCAAUUAUAUCCGCUUAGACUUAAAUUUGGUAUAUUAUAAUUUUAAGAGGAUAAAAAAUAGAUCAAAAGUUUUACACUAACAAAAAUUAAAUUUUAUAAGAAUGAAAAAUAUAUUUUAAUUUAUAUAAUAUUAAACUAAUAAAUGGUACAAAUUAAAUAUUUUUUUUAACAAAAUUACUUGUGGUUAAAGCCAACAAAGCCUCUCUCCUAGGCCUUUGUUGUUAUGACAACAUUGACAAGUUUACUUGUUAUAACUUACUAGAGUGCCACCCCACAGUACCGGGGUUUUUUAAAAAUAAAAAAGAGGAAAUGAGAGAGUAAAUAAAAGAGAAAAGUAAAAAAUAAAAAACAUUGUUAUUCCUUGUCCAAGGGCAACAAAGCCUUUGUCCUACCCUAGGCCAUUGUUAGUUUAUAUACUUUUACAUAGUGUAAAUAAAAAAAAAAAUUAUAACUUGUAAUAAUUUUUUAUUUUUAAAUUUUGAUUUUUUAUUUUAUAUUUUAAAAUAAGAUUUUUUGACAAUUUAAAACUAUGAAAAACUUGUUACAAAAUUUUAAUAUCUUAUUUUUUUAUCUGGUUGACACUAUAUAGAAGGAUUAAAAAUAUUUUGUGAAUUUCAAGAUAAAAAAAUCUUUAAAUUUAAAUUUAAAUAAUUAAAAACAGAUUUAAACAUUUGUUUUUCAAUGUACACCGUGUAAAUCACUGUUUGUACCAUUUAAAACAGGAAAGCCUCGGUUUCCUCUGCCAAGUGCCAAUGCAGUGGAAAUGAUCAUUGUGUUUCUACAUUUCAACUCCUUGGAUUUAAUUCAGAUUUAAGGAUUUUGGUACUACAUUUUAGAAUUUAGAGUGGAGUACAGUUUAGGACUAAAGGGUUUUUUUUAUUACCAAUAAGUUAGGUUAGAAUGUUUUUUUUUUAAAUCAUUUAACUGAAAAGCUUAAACUUAAGAUAUUUUAAAAAACAAUUCUAGGCCUAAACAAGACAAACUAUUUAAGAAGAUAUAAAUAAUAUAAUCACGCACGGAGGCAGCGUUAAGUUUUAGGGGGCAACUAAAAAAAUCAUAUAAUCAUCAAAUUUAAUAUAAAAUAUUCAAAUGUUCCUAAAAUAUAUAAUUAUAUAUUAGUAAUUUAUCAAAACAUUAAUAAAAAAAUAUUAAAACAUUAAGACAAGUUAAGUAUUUUUUAAUAGUCAAAAUUGUAAAUAUCAGUCAGUUUUACGUGUCAAAGAAAUUCCAUGACCAAUAUAUAAUAAAAAUUAGUACUCCCUCCAGAGUGUCACAAAUAAGGAUGGAAUAGGCCAGAUCAAGCUUUGAAAGGUUUGAGCCUAAUUUACGAUAAAUCUUUAAGGCCUGAGUCUGACCUAUAACCUAUCAAAGGCUUUUAUUUUAGUUUGACCUGACCUUUUUAAAAGUUUGGUCUGACCUGGUAGCCUUUUUAAAAGCUUUCUUCAUAAUAAAUAUUUAAUAUUUUAUGGAGUAAGAACGUAAUAGGAAAGUUAAAAAAAAAAGUCAAUCAAAAUAAUGAGAAAUAUAAAAUGACACAUGACUCACACCUAAAUUGUAAUCAAAGUCCUUGAUGAUAGAAAUAGAAGUUAUGGAGGAGUAAUGUGUAAUCAAAGUUUGAUAAUUUCAAAAAAAAAAUUAAUUAUAUCCAAAAAAUAAUAUUAUAUAUUGGUACCCAAAAGUCUGGUCUAUUUAAUUUAAUAAACUUUUAAAAAAGUCUGAGCCUAACCUUUUAAUUAAAUAGGUCAGUUUAUGUAGGUCAGGUCGUAAGCCCCUGUAGGUCAGCCUGACCUAUUCCCACCCCUACUCACAAAUAACAAGAGGAAAAAUAAACAAUACACCAUAAAAUGAUUAGAAAGAAAAAUUAUUUGUUAAUGUAUUUAAAUCUCAAACCUCAAAUUAUCAAUCCCUUUCGUAGUUGAACUUAUUUAAUGUGAAUAUAAAAUUUUUAAUUUAUAAUCAAAUCAAUAUAUUAAUGGAUGGUUAAGAAAGACUUAUAAAUAUAAUUUAUAACCUUUAAAAUAGAUAAUAAAGAAACAUAUAUUAUUAAAAAACAAAUAGUAUUCAAAUAUUUUAUUUAAAAAGAGAAAUAAAUAUAUUAUCUUCACAAUAAAUACAAUAAUAAAAUAAAAUAUUUAUAUAAAAAAAUUAUCUUCACAUAAAAAUAUUAUAAAAGGAGAAUAAAAUAUUUUAUAAAAAAACUUAAUUAUUAUUAUUUGACGCCAAAGUAAAAAUUAUUACUUAUAUAUAUAAUAUGUGUAAAAAAGUAAAAUAAAAAAGUCAGGGGAGCAAGCCCCACCCCCUGAUGUCCCUCCGUCCCUGAAUACAAUAAUACAAUUACGUACUUUUUUAUUACAGUAUUUUUUUUGACGGAUUUUUAUUUAUUAUAGUAUUAAAGUUUGUUUUUUAAGAAAUAUCAUGAAAUUCUGUACUCGUCAGCUUAUUAAAGGUCUUAAGUUUAUUAGCCUACAUAAAAGAUUAAAUUUAUAAAUCUAUUUAGAGGUAGGUUUAUUGACUUAUUUACAAAGCUUUACCACAAAGGUUAUUAAAUAGAUUUCUGGAUUAUUUUUUUCUUUCAAAAAUCUAUAUUUCUUACAUAAAUAGGUUAGACAUAGAUCUUAAGUUUGGAAAAUAGGCCAAGUAGGUUUUAAAGUAAGAUCUUGCUAACCACUGUCCUAAUUGGAUAGGAAAUUAAAAAAAAAUAUUUGUAAAAAUCAUAAAAGAGUGUAAAAAUAAUUAUAAUUAAUAUAAUUGUAUGCGUCUUAAUAGAAACCUUUCUAUUUUAAAAUAUUAGUUAGCAUUUGUCUUUAAGGUAAAACACUUACCCGUCAAACUAAUUAUCACUUGUAAUUCAAACUUAUACCAUUUUUUUUUAAUUUGUUGUAUUUCAUAAUUGAACAAGUUUGUGCAUCUGUCAUUAUUUUGAAACUUAUGGCUAAUAAUUAAGGAACAUUUCAGUUUAUAAUUUUUAUUUGUUAGUUUCAAAAGAUUAAUGUAAGGGUGAUCAAAAGUUUAUGUAAUCUUCUAAAUUCAAAUAAAUUAAUUCAAUUUAAGACUACAAUUUUGACUUUUCUUUUCUUUGAAAAUGAACACGUGAAAAAUUAAUCUGUGGUUUACUUAAAUGCUUCAUUUACUACAUCAAAGUACGUAUUAAGAAACUCGUUGAAUAUGGAAAGAUCGCUUUUGAGACGUGAAAGUUAUAACUAUUAAAACUUAAAACAUCAAACACAUUGUGUAUAUAAUGUUAUUUUUAUCUUUGUUAUUAGGCAUGACAAUGAAACCCGUAUUUGUGGGUAUUUGUUCAAACUUGUCCUAACUUUGACGGGGAUAUCUGAGUUGACUGAGUAUGGGUUCAAAGAUUAUCUGACUUUUUUAAUUAAGAACGGGAAUGUCACUACUCGUUCCAUACCUAUUCUCGUACCCGUUCCGAUGAUGAAAUUAUUAAAAUUUUAUUAAUUACUUGUUAAUUUUUUAUAAUUUUUACACAAUUUAAGAUUUUUUUCUUGAUGAUUUUUGUAGACAAAUGCACUACAAAUACAAAUAGUUAAAAAUAAAUGUGUAAUAAUCAAUUUUUUUAAAUCAAAUUUUCAAUAUAAUUUUUUUUAAAAAAAAAACUUUUUUACAAAUUUGAACCGGGAACGGGACAUGGACAGGGAUAUCCAAUACUGGAUACCUAAUAAGUACGGAGAUAACAAAAUUUAACCCGUCGGGUAUCAGGGAUGAGUACGGGUAUAUGUUGAGGAGUCGAGGACUGAGAAGGCAAUACUCGUCCCCGCCCUGUUGCCAUGUCUAUUUGUUAAUCGCAACAAUUUUACAUAAAUGCAAAGAAAGUUGUGCAUAUAAAACGAUCAUCGAUCAAUGUCGACUGUUACACGAUCUUGAAUGGGUACAUCAUUUUCUCCUAAAAUUUCAGUGCAACAAAUCAUCAAUUACAUUAAUUAAAAGACUUAAAUAUGCUUUUAACCUAUAAAAUGCAAGAGUUUUAAUUUUAGUCUUGUAAAAAAAUUAUUUUAUCAUCCUAAAAAGUUAAAAUCAUGAUUUUUAUCUCUUAUUAUAUGUGACACUCAUUAAUUACUUAUGUAUUUAUCGAAGAUCAAGUAAUCAUAUUAGGGGAUACUCAGUGUUUCUGUUGACAUGUUAACAUGAGAUAUCUCUAUAAAAAAAUUAAAUCCCUGAAAUAAAUGUUAUUAAUCUAAGUCUAUCUUAAAAAAGAAUUUUAAGAACUAAAAAUAAUGAUUUCAAAGAGACAAAACAUAAACAAAAAUUACAAGGACUAAAACUAAAAUUGAAUCAUUGGAACUAAAAACAUAUUUAAACUAUAAUUAAAAUGAAAGUAAAUUAUACUCUAUUUUCUAGAAAUGCAUAAAAUUUAUAUUUCCCUCCCUUUAUAUGAUCAAAAUUUUAUGUAAUCUUGUAAAUUCAAAUAAAUUAACUCAAUUUCAGACUACAAUUUUGACUUUUCUUUUCUUUGAAAAUGAAUACGUGAAAAAUUAAUCUAUGGUAUACUUAAAUGCUUCAUUUACUACAUCGUAUUAAGAAACUCGUUGAAUAUGGAAAAAUUGCUUUUGAGACGUGAAAGUAAUAACUAUUAAAACUUGAAACACCAAACACAUUGUGUAUAUAAUGUUGUUAUUUUUAUCUUUUUUAUUAGGCAUGGCAAUGAAACCCGUAUUUGUGGGUAUCCGUCCAAACUCAUCCUGACUUUGACGGAGAUACCCGAGUUGACCGAGUAAGGGUUAGAGAAUUAUUCAACUUUUUAAAUCAGGAACGGGAAUAUCACUACCCGUUCCAUACCUAUUUUCGUACCUGCUUCAAUGAUGAAAUUAUUAAAAUUUUAUUAAUUACUUCUUAAUUUUUUUAUAAUUUUUUACAUAAUUUAAGAUUCUUUUCUUGAUGAUUUUUGUAAACAAAUGUGCUACAAAUACAAAUAGUUAAAAAUAAAUGUGUAACAAUCAAUUUUUUAUAAAUCAAAUUUUUAAUAUAAUUUUUUUACAAAAAAAAACUUUUUUACAAAUUUGAAAAUAUAAUUUUUUUACAAUUUUUUUUUUACAAACUUGAACCGGGGACAGGACAAGAACAGGGAUACCCAAUACCAAUACCCGAUAGGUACGAAGUUGGGGUAACAAAAUUUAACCCGGAGUAUCAAGGACAAAUACGGGUAUAUGUUGGGGAGUCGAGGACUGGGGAGGCAAUACCCGUCCCCGUCCCGCCAUGUUGCCAUGUCUAUUUGUUAAUCACAACAAUUUUACAUAAAUGCAAAGAAAGUUGUACAUAUAAAACGAUCAUCAAUCAAUGUCAACUGUUACAGGAUCUUGAAUGGGUACAUCAUUUUCUCCUAAAAUUUCACUACAACAAAUAAUCAAUUACAUAAACUAAAAGACUUAAAUAUGCUUUUAACCUAUAAAAUGCAAGAGUUUUAAUUUUAGUCUUGUAAAAAAAUUAUGUUAUCAUCCUAAAAAGUUAAAAUCAUGAUUUUUAUCUCUUAUUAUGUGUGACACUCAUUAAUUACUUAUUAUUUAUGGAAGAUCAAGUAACCAUAUUAGGUGAUACUCACUAGUGUUUCUAUUGACAUGUUAACAUGUGAUAUCUCUAAAAAAAAUUAAAUCCCUAAAAUAAAUGUUAUUAAUUUAAGUCUACCUUAAAAAGGAAUUUUAAGGGCUAAAAAUAGUGAUUUCAAAGAGACAAAACAUAAACAAAAAGGUAAAAUUGUAAAUUUGGUCUCUCAGUUUAUUUCCAGUUUCGGAUUUGAUCCCCAAUAAUUUAAUUCACAAAUUGAGUCCUCCUAUUUUGUAAAAUCGUGCAAUGUUGGUCUCCGAGGCCACAAUUGGACGUUGACCGUUACAAAGGAAUGUUGACUGCCACGUGUCACAUCCUUAUUGGAUGAUGACAGUCACGUUUCAUGUUUUGAUUGGUCAAUGAAAAUAACAAUGCAUUUCAUCUUUUAUGGAAUUGACAUCCAAUCAAAACAUGACACGUGACAAUCAUCAUCCAAUAAGAACGUGACACGUGACAGUCAACGCCAUUUGUUAACGGUCAACAUCCAAUUGUAGCCUGGGGAACCAACAUUGCACGAUUUUAUAAAAUAGGAGGACCCAAUUCGUGAAUUAAAUUACGGGGGACCAAAUCCGAAAUUGGAGAUAAAUUGGAGGAUGAAAAAUACAAUUUUGCCAAACAAAAAUUAUAAGGACUAAAACUAAAAUUGAAUCAUUUUAUAAGUAGGAACUAAAAACAUAUUUAAACUAUAAUUAAAAUGAAAGUAAAUUAUACUCUAUUUUCUAGAAAUGUAUAAAAUUUAUAUUUCCCUCCCUUUAUAUGAUAAAAUUUACACACCUACGCGCGCACACCCGCACCCAAACUCAUUCAACUAUUUGCCAAAAAAAUAAUAAAACUAUAACCCUUAAAUUAGUUAAAUAUCUAUUUGUUUCAUAAUAGUGGCUCUCUUGCUCCAAUUCCUAUAUUCAUUAUUCUGCUAACAGCUUUAUUUUCUUUCGAAGCAAAUAUGAGGACUCAAUCAUAAACGAUGUGUUUUUCAGAUACCAGAAAUGGAUUUCACUAAUAUAUUUACACGGUAGCAUUCAAUAGAAUUUUCUUGUGUAUAUUGGGUAAUGUGAAAUGACACAACUUAUGUCAUUUAUCUAUGAACAUAAAAUACUUCUGUUUAUACUGCAGGAAAGAAGAGGCUCCAAUUAUAUGAGUAUACUCAUUACUCUCCUUUUUUUUUAAUUUAGUAUUAUAAUUGGGGAAUAAAAAACCCCAGAAUUUGACUUGGUUUUCUGUAUCCAAAAAUCUUGUUUUUUUGAACAUGAAGAAAUAAAGAAGUCAUUGCAAUUGCCGGAAAUACUAGACCUAUUAAAGGAAAAAAAUGGAAGGAAAGUUUAUCAUGAAAGGGAAACCUCAAUUUACUAUUUGUACCUUAUAUAUAUUAUUUUUAUUUUUUAUUUUUUUAUUCUUAUUUAUAUUAUCAUAUAAAGAUCUAGACAAGCUCUAAUUUAACAGCAGAGAACAGGGCUUGUAUCAGUUGUAUGUAACAUGCACAUCAGCAGCAGAAAUUCCGGGCUGCACACUGUCACCAGCAACAUGUUUCAUUAUCAAUCAGGUCAACGAAAGAUCAUUAUUACCAUGUCCAUUGGUUAUGGCAUAAUUUGUCUGGGAUAUUUUAGCGAUCGAUGGGAUGAGGUAAUUUGCAAAGCAGUUGCUUUGAAUUCCCUUCUCACUCCCAACGUUAGUUUCAGCACCAUUAUUGCCAUUGUCUGCAGGUUCUUUCUUGCUUCUCUCCCCUUUCUUGGUCAAUGAAGAGCACAUUGUUUCUACAACGUUAAAGAUAACUAACAUUAGUUAGAUUUUUAACAAAACAUCAUAGAAGCUCAAGGAUCACACAUUUCAGAUUAUUAUUCUUUCAAUUGCUUAUGUUACCAAUAUUAAACAAACUAUCAAUGCUAUUUUAAGGUCACUAAUUCUUUCACUAUAUUCUUGCAUUCAAUAGAAACAAAUAGCAAAAGACGAACUGAAGAAUUGGUCCUUCUUUUCUCAGCAUGAAGUAUGACCCUAUAACCUAUCAUAAAACUGAUUUCAAAGUAUUUUCCAAUUAGGUUAUUGGCCUAAGAUCGUCUAACAGCACACAUUUCUCAUUCAGUCAUUCUCUAUUUUUUGUUCUUUCACGAUGAUUUUUAAAUUCAAGGAAAGUUAUCUUCAUUUCAGCCAAUUUCUAUAAGCAUACAAAUGAUGAAGCCAAAUUGGUUUAUUGCUUCUUGCUUUAGAAAAGCUUAUGCAUGACAACAAGGUGACCCUGCAGUGGGUGAAUAUAUGGCUUCUCAUUUUUAUGUUCUAGCCUGGCAUUCUUAAUUUUAUGAAUAUGAUGAUGCAAGUUGUUUACAUAGGUAAGCUGAGUAAGACAAAUCCCUACAAAGUACAGAUGCAUCAUAAAGAAGUUAGGUAUGGGUACACUACAUGAUCAGCUGAAUUAGUAUUUCAGUCACAACACAUAAGGUAAAUAUUUGUUAGCCGUGUCAAAUGGGACUUUCCACAAUGACUGUUUAUAGAACAUUAUAGUUUUUUUUUUAUUAGCAAAUGUUAGCAAUUAGUAUGUUAUGUUAGUGGGAGAAUUCAAACCCAUGACCUCCUUAUCACUCCAACCCUUAUGCCCCUCCCCCAACUACAAAACCACUUUAUGACUCCCUAUAGAAUAUUACAGUUAAUCUUAAGACAGGAAUGUCCAGAUUAAUUUUGCCCAAACAAAGUUGUAAGUGUGAAGACUUCAACACCAUAACAAAUUAAUACUAAAGCCUAACCUUUGAUGCUGCCAUGAGUAACGAGUCCGCGAAGAAUGUCCAAGAACUUGGUCAAUAUAAGCCUUUCCUGCUCUCUGUAAACAUCAGUGCAUCCAUCAGAAUUAAAUGACUUUUGAAUCAUGUUUUGAAAAGUGCUGUUGCAUGCAACUCCAUCUGCAGAACAAUUUCCAAAAAGCAUAUCAUCCUGUUCAUCACACAUCAAUGCUAGUGUUUCAGGUGAUAAUGGCCUAUUAUAAUGAGCGACAUCAACUGCUUCUGCUU
This 9013-nucleotide long non-coding RNA is filed under the name Glycine max (soybean). RNAcentral's name for it is "long non-coding RNA (GMAX_LNC000760)". The stretch from base 6335 to 6454 matches the Rfam family "MIR1520 microRNA precursor family". The record is from RNAcentral. Lineage: Eukaryota; Viridiplantae; Streptophyta; Magnoliopsida; Fabales; Fabaceae.